GUAUUGUAUUGCGUUAAACGCGGCAUGCAUUCCAUAAGACUUUAUUACAGUGUGUGUGUGUAAAGACGUAGGACCACAGCAAGAGGAGAGUGUUCCCCCCAGGCCAUAGAACUACAGAGGGUGCACAGGUGUGAGUGGAUGUGUAAACAGAGCGUGCACGUGCCCCCAUUUGAGGGCCAGCAACAACUCAUGUCGACAAUUCGGUAAUGAUCCUUCCGCAGGUUCACCUACGGAAA
This 236-nucleotide unclassified non-coding RNA is filed under the name uncultured fungus. RNAcentral's name for it is "sequence contains ITS1". The record is from RNAcentral. Lineage: Eukaryota; Fungi.